This 567-nucleotide ribosomal RNA is filed under the name uncultured bacterium. Its description in RNAcentral is "partial 16S ribosomal RNA". It matches the Rfam family "Bacterial small subunit ribosomal RNA", at positions 355 to 914 of the family's 1533-position model. The record is from RNAcentral.
UGGGGAAUUUUGGACAAUGGGCGAAAGCCUGAUCCAGCAAUGCCGCGUGUGUGAAGAAGGCCUUCGGGUUGUAAAGCACUUUUGUCCGGAAAGAAAUCCUUGGCUCUAAUACAGUCGGGGGAUGACGGUACCGGAAGAAUAAGCACCGGCUAACUACGUGCCAGCAGCCGCGGUAAUACGUAGGGUGCAAGCGUUAAUCGGAAUUACUGGGCGUAAAGCGUGCGCAGGCGGUUUGCUAAGACCGAUGUGAAAUCCCCGGGCUCAACCUGGGAACUGCAUUGGUGACUGGCAGGCUAGAGUAUGGCAGAGGGGGGUAGAAUUCCACGUGUAGCAGUGAAAUGCGUAGAGAUGUGGAGGAAUACCGAUGGCGAAGGCAGCCCCCUGGGCCAAUACUGACGCUCAUGCACGAAAGCGUGGGGGAGCAAACAGGAUUAGAUACCCUGGUAGUCCACGCCCUAAACGAUGUCAACUAGUUGUUGGGGAUUCAUUUCCUUAGUAACGUAGCUAACGCGUGAAGUUGACCGCCUGGGGAGUACGGCCGCAAGGUUGAAACUCAAAGGAAUUGAC